RNAcentral lists this ribosomal RNA (468 nucleotides) under uncultured bacterium. Its description in RNAcentral is "partial 16S ribosomal RNA". It matches the Rfam family "Bacterial small subunit ribosomal RNA", at positions 28 to 507 of the family's 1533-position model. The record is from RNAcentral.
GACGAACGCUGGCGGCGUGCCUAAUACAUGCCAGUCGAACGGAAAGGCCCUGCUCUUGCUGCGUUCUCGUUUGGCGAACGGGUGAGUAACACGUGAGUAACCCGUCCUUGUCUUUGGGAUAACUCUAGGAAACUGGGGCUCAUAUCCGAUAGGAGCUCUUGCUCCAUGGUGGGGGUUGGAAAGUUUCGGCGGUUGUGGCUGGACUCGCAGCUUAUCCGCCUCUUAGUGAGGUAGUGGCUUACCAAGGUUGCGACGGGUAGCCGGCCUGGGAGGGUGACCGGCCACAAUGGGACUGAGGGAGGGCCCAGACGCCAACGGGAGGCAACGGGGGGGAAUAUUACACAAUAGGCGGGAGCCUGAUACGGAAGCGCCGCGUGCGGAAUGACGGGCUACGGGUUGUAAACCAAUGUCGCAGGUAACGAGGCGUGAGUGACGGUAAUGGAUAAGGAAGCACCGGCUAACUACGUG